This 1599-nucleotide long non-coding RNA is filed under the name Cricetulus griseus (Chinese hamster). Its description in RNAcentral is "lncRNA (ENSCGRG00015033926.1)". Lineage: Eukaryota; Metazoa; Chordata; Mammalia; Rodentia; Cricetidae. The record is from RNAcentral.
GGUUGAUAACAGGUAGUUUAUUAAGAAAUAGUACUCAUCCAAGUCCACUUAGCCAGGCUUCAGGGAGGGAGAGAAAGGGCCCGCGUGAGCACCCUAACUACUUAAACCUUUUCCAUGUCACUCUGACCAAGCCCAAGUGGGCAUGGUCAGCAACACAUGUGUCCAGUCCCAAUCGGGUGUGGGUAUCCUUACAUGUGGCCAGCUCCAUAGCAUUACCUCUAAACAGGAUACUCCUAAAAUUCCACUUUUAGUCUAAAGAGGAUUAAAACUUAACAGUGUAAAUUAUCUAUAAUUAACAAUCGUAAAGGUGAAUUACAAGAAGGUUAAUAAUCCACUAAUAUCACAUCCUAACUAUGUCUAUUCCAACUAAACCCUAAAGUCAUCUGAAAGAGAUGUCCAAGCCUGAACACCUCUUCCAAACCCAACCCUAAACAAUAGGAAACUAGCCUUAACUAGGUGUACAUUAUCCUUAGUGACAACAGUGGGGAAAGGGAGUGUAGUAUUCUCCAAGUUACUUCUUGCUGAAAUGGGACGACUAUAGCCUCAUGGGGUCCUGUAGGAAGAAAAUGUUAAUGUAGUGAAAGUCAUGAGUGGAUUAUAUGAAGUCUGUGUUUGAUGGGAGAUGCUUUAUUGAAGGUCUAGGUUGGAGUCCUUAUAUUGAUUGAAGUUCUUGUGUUGAUUGGAAUCAGUAGCCGAAGCUCUAGCCAGAGUGUCAGUUCAAACGAAUCAAGUUGGAUCCAAUCGACUCAAUGAAGUGUGGCCCGUUUUCUUUCUGGAGAGUUAAAGGAUUGCUGUUAGGCGUUGUUUUUAUUGGCUGUGUGGAACUCAAAUAUAAAUGUUAGCAGAGAAAUUUUUACUUUUAUAUGUAUGCAAACCAGGAAAGGCAACAAUGGGAAAAUAACAAUUAUGAGAGAAUGUAUACUUUGAGUGAAAUAUCCAAGAAAAGACAAACGGCAGUCCCCAAUUUUUGUCUGAUUCUGUAUUACAUCAAUUGGCUUCUUGAUACAAUACAGAAACUCUGAAUUUUAUUUUAACAACAUGCUUGGAUUUAGAGGCGGAGAGCCAAAUCCAACUCUAAAUACAGCAUUGUGUUAAUUGAAUAGGGACUGGGAAAUAAAAAGAAAUAGAUUUAGAGGAAUAUGCAGAGUUUACCAUAUGGUACAUUCCUUUUGUUUGAUGGUUAUAGCUACCUUCUCUUCUUUAGGCAUACACCCAUGCAGUAUCCCUUUGCUUUCUGGAGAUGAAUUUCCUGUGAAAAUAAAAACAAAACACUUACCUUUCCUUUGUGAGGCUGCCAUACAGUUUAUGAGAUAUACCUUGGUGGAUCAUUUCUCCUCAUCAAGAGGUUUUGCUUUUUCUACUCGAAUCUUGAUCAACUUUGAUGGUAUCCAAAGUUUUUCUUCUCCUGUGGAAACAAAGGCAAAACCCCUUCCCCAACAUAACACAUGUCUUGGUUUCCAUACAGAGGUCAAUACAUCUUUAAAGUAUACCGGCUGAUUCAGUUCAGCAUUUUUUUCUGUAGUCCAGUGUCUUUCUGCAGCUGUUUGUCCUUUCUUAUUAGCAUUAAGAAAGUUUAGUGUUAAUAAAGCAUUAUGUAAC